This 274-nucleotide long non-coding RNA is filed under the name Mytilus galloprovincialis (Mediterranean mussel). The record is from RNAcentral. Lineage: Eukaryota; Metazoa; Mollusca; Bivalvia; Mytilida; Mytilidae.
AUUUUGACUGAGUGUGGACUAACAUGUUCAAUCAAUUCCCUCAUAUAUUUCUAGUUACUUUGAUGUGUCGCUUCUGAAUAGAUUCAAGAGAUUUGAACAUCGUCGUCGUCUCUCUCGAUCGAUCGACCUCGACCUCGACUCUAAAUCUCCUACCGAUAGUGCGAGUACCGCAUGGUUAAUGUAGUUGAUGUCGUUUAACAACCCCGUAGAAGUAGUACCAAAGGUGCUUUGUUCAGACUUGACUUAAUUUUUUUCUCUCUUACGUUGGUCCCCA